AAAAAUGGUUCACUUAUGGUACAUUGCUACUUAUUUAGAUUGCCAAAAAUGGUUCACUUUAUAUUGUGUAUAGCUGUAUGCCUGUAUGACAUCACAUAUAUUUAGAUUGCCAAAAAAAGGUUAAGUAGUAGACUGUAUAGCUUAAAUGAUUACUAUCAAUUACAGUAUAAGUAGAGUGUAUUAACAAAGAGGCAGAUUGGGAGAAUUAAAUAUAACUUGUGCUUCUGAGAUUAAACAAACAAAUUGGCAUUACAAACACUCACUCUCACACAUAUAAUCUCUCUCUCUCUCUCUCUCUCUCUCUCUCUCUCUCUCUUAGACUCAGUUACUGCUACAAUUUAGUUUCAACACCAGACAUCCUCCGCCUGUUCAUUUCCUUGGUAAUAGCUUUUUAUUUUUGAGGUUUAUUUUCUUCAUUUCUAUUUCUUUUUAUUCAUUCUGUUUUCUUAUAUGCUCUAUUCAUUUCAUAUAUAAGCCU
This 478-nucleotide long non-coding RNA is filed under the name Trifolium pratense (red clover). Its description in RNAcentral is "long non-coding RNA (TPRA_LNC005053)". The record is from RNAcentral. Lineage: Eukaryota; Viridiplantae; Streptophyta; Magnoliopsida; Fabales; Fabaceae.